Molecule: ribosomal RNA, 1026 nt
Filed under: Triticum aestivum (bread wheat)
Lineage: Eukaryota; Viridiplantae; Streptophyta; Magnoliopsida; Poales; Poaceae
Description: partial small subunit ribosomal RNA
Source: RNAcentral
AUGGUGCUUGCUGAAGUUUCCAUUAUGAAAAAUGAAUCCUACUCUAUCGUGUCUUGGAACGUUCGAGGUCUUGGUGACAAUGAUAAAUGUGCUAAUGUGUUCUCUGAGAUUAAUCAACUACGCCCAUCGAUCGCUCUUUUUCAAGAAACUAAACUUCUCAAACCAGACACCAUUAAAAUACGCUCGAUCCUACCACGCUUCCUAGACUCAAACAACCAUCUAGACGCUAUCAGUUCUGCGGGUGGCAUUCUCUCUGCCACUAACUCACGCUGUUUCACACUUCUCAGCUGUGACCAUAGGCGUUUUAGCUCCACCCUCACCCUCUCUUGCCUUGCCUCGCAACACGCCGUCUAUAUCACCAACGUCUACGCUCCUUCGCAAAGGGAUCUCAAAAGAGAUUUCCUGGAUGAGCUUAAACAAACUGAACCACCACCACAAUCCCCCUGGCUCCUCAUCGGUCACUUCAAUCUGAUUCGCUUCCCCAAUGAAAAGAACAAUAAUAACUUUCGCCGAUCUGAAGCAGAUGCCUUCAAUGAUACCAUUGAUCAACUUGCUCUCAUUGAGCUCCCUCUUCUUGAUCGCCAAUUCACGUGGUCAAACAAGAGGCCAUCCCCUACGCUUGUAAGGCUAGAUAGGGUUCUUAUUAACCUCCCCUGGGAUGCGCUCUUUCCCAACACCCACCUGACCUCUCUCACUCGUUUCGCCUCCGAUCACGUUCCGCUACUGGUUACUAUGUCCACAUCUAUUCCCUCCUCCCGCCUUUUUCGCUUUCAAUGUUACUGGACCUCCCUCCAGGCCUGCAAAACCAUAGUGCAAACCACUUGGCUGCCCAUUGAUCAAAACCACAAUGGGCCGGUACUGGACCCCGCGACUUCUCUGGCUCAAAAUCUGAAAAAAACACGGCCAGCCCUUAAAUCUUGGGCCAAAACUCUUAGGCCCAUCUACCAACGGGAGCAAAUUGCAAACUUGCAAUUCUGGCCCUUGACCUUAACGAGGAACUUGCCCCCCUCUCCCUUCUGGAACUAA